This 432-nucleotide long non-coding RNA is filed under the name Urocitellus parryii (Arctic ground squirrel). RNAcentral's name for it is "lncRNA (ENSUPAG00010020901.1)". The record is from RNAcentral. Lineage: Eukaryota; Metazoa; Chordata; Mammalia; Rodentia; Sciuridae.
GGCUUUCCUGGGAGCGGAGAGCAGACAGAGGUGCCCUGGGUUUGUUCCCAGCCCUACUUACUCACCUGGGGGGGCUGACCCUGCCCUGCCCUGCCUUAGCCAUUAUAUUCUGUCCAGAAAUCCCACAGGAAAUCUUCAAGUGUGGCAAGAAGAGGGGGAAACCUACUAUCUCCCUGGAACCUAAUGUUCGGUCUAAGGUUCUCGAGGUGGUCUUGUUGGUGGGAAGACUCUGGCAUGAAGGGGAGAGACAUGGAACCUGGUUUGGGAACCCUUUGGAUAUCUCUCAAGGAUUCUGCAGUUUGGGCAAAUCUGCCUUACACAAUAGAGUCUCCUGCAGGUCACAUGCAAGAAUUCCCAACAGUGCCAAAUACAGUAGUCCCCCUCAGCCACAGUUUCAUGUUCCAUGGAUUCAGCUACCUGUGGCCAACCACG